GAAUCAUUAGUUUAGUGGAAUAAUUUAUUUACGAUAAAGAGGUUAGGUGAUUCU
This 54-nucleotide transfer RNA is filed under the name Protostrongylus rufescens. RNAcentral's name for it is "tRNA-Val". The record is from RNAcentral. Lineage: Eukaryota; Metazoa; Nematoda; Chromadorea; Rhabditida; Metastrongylidae.